RNAcentral lists this ribosomal RNA (220 nucleotides) under uncultured Staphylococcus sp. RNAcentral describes it as "partial 16S ribosomal RNA". It matches the Rfam family "Bacterial small subunit ribosomal RNA", at positions 120 to 334 of the family's 1533-position model. The record is from RNAcentral. Lineage: Bacteria; Bacillati; Bacillota; Bacilli; Caryophanales; Staphylococcaceae.
GAUAACCUACCUAUAAGACUGGGAUAACUUCGGGAAACCGGAGCUAAUACCGGAUAAUAUAUUGAACCGCAUGGUUCAAUAGUGAAAGACGGUUUUGCUGUCACUUAUAGAUGGAUCCGCGCCGCAUUAGCUAGUUGGUAAGGUAACGGCUUACCAAGGCAACGAUGCGUAGCCGACCUGAGAGGGUGAUCGGCCACACUGGAACUGAGACACGGUCCAG